RNAcentral lists this ribosomal RNA (492 nucleotides) under uncultured bacterium. RNAcentral's name for it is "partial 16S ribosomal RNA". It matches the Rfam family "Bacterial small subunit ribosomal RNA", at positions 29 to 507 of the family's 1533-position model. The record is from RNAcentral.
AGUGAACGCUGGCGGUAGGCCUAACACAUGCAAGUCGAACGGCAGCACAGUAAGAGCUUGCUCUUACGGGUGGCGAGUGGCGGACGGGUGAGGAAUACAUCGGAAUCUACUUUUUCGUGGGGGAUAACGUAGGGAAACUUACGCUAAUACCGCAUACGACCUACGGGUGAAAGCAGGGGAUCUUCGGACCUUGCGCGAUUGAAUGAGCCGAUGUCGGAUUAGCUAGUUGGCGGGGUAAAGGCCCACCGAGGCGACGAUCCGUAGCUGGUCUGAGGGGAUGAUCAGCCACACUGGAACUGAGACACGGUCCAGACUCCUACGGGAGGCAGCAGUGGGGAAUAUUGGACAAUGGGCGCAAGCCUGAUCCAGCCAUACCGCGUGGGUGAAGAAGGCCUUCGGGUUGUAAAGCCCUUUUGUUGGGAAAGAAAAGCAGCAGGUUAAUACCCCGCUGUUCUGACGGUACCCAAAGAAUAAGCACCGGCUAACUUCGUG